Molecule: long non-coding RNA, 233 nt
Organism: Scleropages formosus (Asian bonytongue)
Lineage: Eukaryota; Metazoa; Chordata; Actinopteri; Osteoglossiformes; Osteoglossidae
Exons: 3
Source: RefSeq, a predicted model, not a curated record
AACAAAGUGAGCAGCGUGGGCACUAAGCUAAGUGGGUCGCCUCCCUUGUGCACGGCUCUCCCACAUUGAAUAGCUGGAGGACAAUGACAGACUGGCUGUUAGGAGCAAGCACUUGCUGGGAGGAAUAAACACCACCUUCUGGCUCUGUGCCACACAAGUGGCCAAAGGAGAACUUCCAGCAUUUUGGAUGUUACAGCUCAGAGCAGUGCCAUAUGAGAUGAACCCACACGAGC